AAGACUUUAAGUUAAAGAAACUGAAUGCCUUCAAAGCAUAAAAUAAUAAGAUUAAGUCUUA
RNAcentral lists this transfer RNA (61 nucleotides) under Alectorobius peruvianus. RNAcentral's name for it is "tRNA-Trp". The record is from RNAcentral. Lineage: Eukaryota; Metazoa; Arthropoda; Arachnida; Ixodida; Argasidae.